RNAcentral lists this ribosomal RNA (539 nucleotides) under uncultured Bacillota bacterium. RNAcentral describes it as "bacterial SSU rRNA". It matches the Rfam family "Bacterial small subunit ribosomal RNA", at positions 340 to 893 of the family's 1533-position model. The record is from RNAcentral. Lineage: Bacteria; Bacillati; Bacillota.
UACGGGAGGCAGCAGUGGGGGAUAUUGCGCAAUGGGGGAAACCCUGACGCAGCAACGCCGCGUGAAGGAUGAAGGUCUUCGGAUUGUAAACUUCUUUUAUUAAGGACGAAGAAAGUGACGGUACUUAAUGAAUAAGCUCCGGCUAACUACGUGCCAGCAGCCGCGGUAAUACGUAGGGAGCAAGCGUUGUCCGGAUUUACUGGGUGUAAAGGGUGCGUAGGCGGCUUUGCAAGUCAGAUGUGAAAUCUAUGGGCUCAACCCAUAGCCUGCAUUUGAAACUGCAGAGCUUGAGUGAAGUAGAGGCAGGCGGAAUUCCCCGUGUAGCGGUGAAAUGCGUAGAGAUGGGGAGGAACACCAGUGGCGAAGGCGGCCUGCUGGGCUUUAACUGACGCUGAGGCACGAAAGCGUGGGUAGCAAACAGGAUUAGAUACCCUGGUAGUCCACGCUGUAAACGAUGAUUACUAGGUGUGGGGGGUCUGACCCCUUCCGUGCCGGAGUUAACACAAUAAGUAAUCCACCUGGGGAGUACGGCCGCAAGG